ACACGAGUGGCGGAACUGGAAUACGCGUUGCGCUAAGGACGCAGUACCUGAAAAGGCAUGCGAGUUCGAAUCUCGCCUCGUGUACCA
This 87-nucleotide transfer RNA is filed under the name Clostridia bacterium. Its description in RNAcentral is "tRNA-Leu". It matches the Rfam family "tRNA". From Rfam's summary of the family: Transfer RNA (tRNA) molecules are approximately 80 nucleotides in length. Their secondary structure includes four short double-helical elements and three loops (D, anti-codon, and T loops). Lineage: Bacteria; Bacillati; Bacillota; Clostridia. The record is from RNAcentral. RNAcentral also lists the same sequence under 1 other name.